RNAcentral lists this unclassified non-coding RNA (624 nucleotides) under Claviceps purpurea (ergot fungus). RNAcentral describes it as "sequence contains 18S rRNA gene, ITS1, 5.8S rRNA gene, ITS2, 28S rRNA gene". The stretch from base 231 to 384 matches the Rfam family "5.8S ribosomal RNA". Lineage: Eukaryota; Fungi; Ascomycota; Sordariomycetes; Hypocreales; Clavicipitaceae. The record is from RNAcentral.
UGGAAGUAAAAGUCGUAACAAGGUCUCCGUUGGUGAACCAGCGGAGGGAUCAUUACCGAGUUUACAACUCCCAAACCCACUGUGAACUUAUACCCAAAACGUUGCCUCGGCGGGCACAGCGGUACCCGAGCCCCCGCAAGGGAGCAGAGGCGCCCGCCCGCCAGGGGACCAAAACUCUUCUGUAUACCCAUAGCGGCAUGUCUGAGUGGAUUUAAAAACAAAUGAAUCAAAACUUUCAACAACGGAUCUCUUGGUUCUGGCAUCGAUGAAGAACGCAGCGAAAUGCGAUACGUAAUGUGAAUUGCAGAAUUCAGUGAAUCAUCGAAUCUUUGAACGCACAUUGCGCCCGCCAGUAUUCUGGCGGGCAUGCCUGUUCGAGCGUCAUUUCAACCCUCAAGCCCUGCUUGGUGUUGGGGACCGGCUCAGCGGGUGCGGGCUUCGGCCCGCCCCGUGCCGCCCCCGAAAUGGAUCGGCGGUCUCGUCGCAGCCUUCUUUGCGUAGUAACAUACCACCUCGCAACAGGAGCGCGGCGCGGCCACUGCCGUAAAACGCCCAACUUUUUAGAGUUGACCUCGAAUCAGGUAGGAAUACCCGCUGAACUUAAACAUAUCAAUAAGCGGAGGA